CCUGGCGGCCAUAGCGCCGUGGAACCACCUGAUCCCAUGCCGAACUCAGAAGUGAAACGCGGUAG
This 65-nucleotide ribosomal RNA is filed under the name Aeromonas media. The record is from RNAcentral. RNAcentral also lists the same sequence under 2 other names. Lineage: Bacteria; Pseudomonadati; Pseudomonadota; Gammaproteobacteria; Aeromonadales; Aeromonadaceae.